Molecule: ribosomal RNA, 253 nt
Filed under: uncultured bacterium
Lineage: Bacteria
Description: partial 16S ribosomal RNA
Rfam family: Bacterial small subunit ribosomal RNA
Source: RNAcentral
UACGGAGGUGGCGAGCGUUACUCGGUAUGACUGGGUGUAAAGGGUCCGCAGGCGGUUUCGUAAGUGAAAGGUGAAAUCCUUCGGCUUAACUGAAGAAAUGCCUUUCAUACUGCGUUACUUGAGGAUGGAAGAGGAGAGUGGAACUGUUGGUGUAAAGGCGAAAUUUGUGGAUAUCAACAGGAACGCCUAUGGUGAAGACAGCUCUCUGGUCCAUUCCUGACGCUGAGGGACGAAAGCUAGGGGAGCGAACAGG